AUUAAACGCUGGCGGCAUGCCUUACACAUGCAAGUCGAACGGCAGCACGGGGGCAACCCUGGUGGCGAGUGGCGGACGGGUGAGUAACACAUCGGAACGUGCCCUGGAGUGGGGGAUAACGCAGCGAAAGCUACGCUAAUACCGCAUAUUCUGUGAGCAGGAAAGCAGGGGAUCGCAAGACCUUGCGCUUUGGGAGCGGCCGAUGUCGGAUUAGCUAGUUGGUGGGGUAAAGGCUUACCAAGGCGACGAUCCGUAGCGGGUCUGAGAGGAUGAUCCGCCACACUGGGACUGAGACACGGCCCAGACUCCUACGGGAGGCAGCAGUGGGGAAUUUUGGACAAUGGGCGGAAGCCUGAUCCAGCCAUGCCGCGUGAGUGAAGAAGGCCUCGGUUGUAAGA
This 398-nucleotide ribosomal RNA is filed under the name uncultured bacterium. RNAcentral's name for it is "bacterial SSU rRNA". It matches the Rfam family "Bacterial small subunit ribosomal RNA", at positions 29 to 430 of the family's 1533-position model. The record is from RNAcentral.